UGGGGUAGAGCUCAGUGGCAGAGAGAGUGCUUAGCACGUACGAGGUACUGGGUUCAAUCCCCAGUACCUCCA
Molecule: transfer RNA, 72 nt
Filed under: Camelus ferus (Wild Bactrian camel)
Lineage: Eukaryota; Metazoa; Chordata; Mammalia; Artiodactyla; Camelidae
Rfam family: tRNA
About the family: Transfer RNA (tRNA) molecules are approximately 80 nucleotides in length. Their secondary structure includes four short double-helical elements and three loops (D, anti-codon, and T loops). Further hydrogen bonds mediate the characteristic L-shaped molecular structure. tRNAs have two regions of fundamental functional importance: the anti-codon, which is responsible for specific mRNA codon recognition, and the 3' end, to which the tRNAs corresponding amino acid is attached (by aminoacyl-tRNA synthetases). tRNAs cope with the degeneracy of the genetic code in two manners: having more than one tRNA (with a specific anti-codon) for a particular amino acid; and 'wobble' base-pairing, i.e. permitting non-standard base-pairing at the 3rd anti-codon position.
Source: Rfam by way of RNAcentral